UACGGGGGGGGCAAGCGUUGUUCGGAAUUACUGGGCGUAAAGGGCUCGUAGGCGGCCAACUAAGUCGGAUGUGAAAUCCCCAGGCUCAACCUGGGAACUGCAUCCGAUACUGGAUGGCUUGAAUUCGGGAGAGGGAUGCAGAAUUCCAGGUGUAGCGGUGAAAUGCGUAGAUAUCUGGAGGAAUACCGGUGGCGAAGGCGGCAUCCUGGACCGACAUCGACGCUGAUGAGCGAAAGCUAGGGGAGCAAACGGG
This 253-nucleotide ribosomal RNA is filed under the name uncultured bacterium. Its description in RNAcentral is "partial 16S ribosomal RNA". It matches the Rfam family "Bacterial small subunit ribosomal RNA", at positions 524 to 776 of the family's 1533-position model. The record is from RNAcentral.